Molecule: long non-coding RNA, 1994 nt
Organism: Cucumis melo (muskmelon)
Lineage: Eukaryota; Viridiplantae; Streptophyta; Magnoliopsida; Cucurbitales; Cucurbitaceae
Exons: 3
Source: RefSeq, a predicted model, not a curated record
UCACCGGUGAAUUACUAUAAGAAAAUAUGUAUUUUUUGAUGCACAAUAUGGACGUCGAGAGAAAAGGCUUUUCUCGACACUAUAGAAGCACUGUCGAGAAAGGUUGACAAUCCUAACGCGACAUAAGGCGACGUCGGUAUAAGAUCUGUGUUACUCGAAAAUGAAGGAAAGGAAGACUAAAAACAAGGGAGACGAAUGAAGGGUUUGAAGACCGAAAAAGGAGGAAGAAGGUCCACCGUCGCUCACCGCCCACCGUCCGUUGCUUGCUAUUGCCGUCGACUCUUGAGUUGUCGUUCGUCUCUCGCCGGUGUAGUAUUUCUUUUUUAAGAAUAGAAGAUCUUCGAAAGCACAAAAUAAGGCAUCAAGAGAAGUCAAGGAUCUCCCUACGCUACAUUUUGUGCGUCGGGAGAUCCUCUCCUGACUUAUUUUUCCUAACUUCAAUCCUGACGCGAAUUUAUGUGUCGAGAAAUCCUUUUCCGAUGCUUUUUCAUAUAUCUCUCGACGCUUUUGUGCAUCGGGAAAUCUCCAUUUUCUUGUAGUAAAUCUACGUAAGGACCAGUGGGACACGCCUCAAAUUAUUGAUUUUUGUAUUUUAAUAUUUAUUUUGAAGUCUCAUUUUACAUUAUAUAACAUGUCUUUUAAACCAAUGUUGGUUAGUAUAGUGGUUGUCCCAUACUCUUUCAAACUCAAAUUGUGGUUUUUGUUCUUUCCACGGAUCCAUGUGGGGGUAAAUAUAAAUAAUAGUACCAAUAAAUGCAUUGUAAUGAACAAAAUGUAUGUGACAUUUUGUGUUCGAAUUCCAUUUAAAGGCAUGCUUUAAAAAAAUCUUAAAAUUGUAAAAUUUUGAAGCUUAGAGAUCGAAUGGAAACAAAAGCGAAACAUUUUGUAACCUAUAUAUGCAAUUCGACUUAAUUUGAUCAGUUUUCACAUAUAAAAAUUAAAUUUUUUUGUUCCAUUUAGCUUGAUCACUAAAUCAAAGGUGGUGGUUAACCACAGGAUCACUGAAGCUGGUGUCUAAAAGUUGACUUAACUUCCAACCUUUGAAACAAAUACCCUUAGGGUUAAAGAAUACUAACGGCGUGCCGAUUAUUUUAAGUCCUAAUCUUAAUCCUCAACUAAAGCUAAAUCUUGCCCAAACAAGAAGUGGACUAUUAAAGCUCACUUCACUCCACUCUAAGCCUCAACCCAUGCUCUUAAUAGUUGACUCUCUCCUAUGGACUUUCGAAGCUUUGUUUCUCAUGUUUCCGUGGGUCUUGAUGAAGAAUAUAUUCCUAUUAUUGUGUAAUAUGAGGUCAAGAUCUCACAUGGAACAAGGUCCAGUAUGAACUACUUUUGUAUGAAUAAAGGCAUGAGAAGAAGAGAAACUUCAACUACAACCAAAAUAACUAGAGGAAACCAUACCAACCAUCAUUCCAACAACAACACAAAUUAAGGAGGAAAUUCGAAGAGGAAGAAAUAGGUAUUUACCCUACCCACCAUUCAACAAACCCACCUCUCAUGGGAUAAAGUUCUAGUCAAGGUAGCCAAUCUUUUCUUUGACUAUGGAUAAGGUACAAUCAAAUCAAGAAUACAAAACGAGAGACCGAACAUUCGAAGAAGAAUCCCCAACCCAUCACCAACCCUUCGAUUCACUAGCAAUUGUUGUAUAAUGAGGAAAAUGUAAAAUAAGUUGUAAAAAAAAUGUAAAACAAUUCUAAAUAUUUAUACACAUACAUUUAUUUAGUGAAAAUUUAACCGUUUUCCAAAAUUUUAGGAAGGCAGUGACGUGGAUGCUGUGGGGCCCAACCGUUAAAUUCACAAGAAAAAUAUCUAUUGAAGAAAUGAGGUGUGGGCCCUAUCAACUCUGACAAUGACAAUGACGUGGAACUAUCAACUAUGCAACUAUUUUGUUUUCAUCAAACUAUGUGUUGUAUUCCUCACAUAAAAACAAAAGAAAAAAAAGUUAUCUACGUCAAUAUUACCAUUUUUUAAAAUAAGUUUUUAAAAACAUUUUU